GACAGAGGUGCCGAGCGUUAGGCGGAAUCACUGGGCUUAAAGCGUGUGUAGGCGGGUCGUUAAGGGCCUUGUGAAAUCCCACAGCUCACCUGUGGAACUGCUGGGCAUACUGGCGAUCUUGAGCCACUUAGGGGCAACCGGAACAAACGGUGGAGCGGUGAAAUGCGUAGAUAUGCGGAGGAACACCGAUGGCGAAGGCAAUCCCCUGGACCUGUACUGACGCUCAUGCACGAAAGCGUGGGGAGCAAACAGG
This 253-nucleotide ribosomal RNA is filed under the name uncultured bacterium. RNAcentral describes it as "partial 16S ribosomal RNA". It matches the Rfam family "Bacterial small subunit ribosomal RNA", at positions 524 to 776 of the family's 1533-position model. The record is from RNAcentral.